UACGGGGGGGGUAAGCGUUGUUCGGAAUUACUGGGCGUAAAGGGCUCGUAGGCGGCCAACUAAGUCAUACGUGAAAUCCCUCAGCUUAACUGGGGAACUGCGUGUGAUACUGGAUGGCUUGGAUUUGGGAGAGGGAUGCGGAAUUCCAGGUGUAGCGGUGAAAUGCGUAGAUAUCUGGAGGAACACCGGUGGCGAAGGCGGCAUCCUGGACCAAUACUGACACUGAGGAGCGAAAGCCAGGGGAGCAAACGGG
Molecule: ribosomal RNA, 253 nt
Filed under: uncultured bacterium
Lineage: Bacteria
Description: partial 16S ribosomal RNA
Rfam family: Bacterial small subunit ribosomal RNA
Source: RNAcentral